RNAcentral lists this ribosomal RNA (253 nucleotides) under uncultured bacterium. RNAcentral's name for it is "partial 16S ribosomal RNA". It matches the Rfam family "Bacterial small subunit ribosomal RNA", at positions 524 to 776 of the family's 1533-position model. The record is from RNAcentral.
GACAGAGGGUGCAACCGUUGUUCGGAAUUACUGGGCGUAAAGCGCGUGUAGGCUGCUCAGAAAGUCGGAUGUGAAAGCCCUGGGCUUAACCUAGGAAGUGCAUUCGAAACUUCUGAGCUUGAGUUCUGGAGAGGAAGGCGGAAUUCUCGGUGUAGAGGUGAAAUUCGUAGAUAUCGAGAGGAACACCGGUGACGAAGGCGGCCUUCUGGACAGUGACUGACGCUGAGACGCGAAAGCGUGGGGAGCAAACAGG